Molecule: ribosomal RNA, 565 nt
Filed under: Trichoderma sp. TRH061618
Lineage: Eukaryota; Fungi; Ascomycota; Sordariomycetes; Hypocreales; Hypocreaceae
Description: eukaryotic LSU rRNA
Rfam family: 5.8S ribosomal RNA (bases 186-339)
Source: RNAcentral
GGGAUAACGGAUGCACUCCCAACCCAAUGUGAACGUUACCAAACUGUUGCCUCGGCGGGGUCACGCCCCGGGUGCGUCGCAGCCCCGGAACCAGGCGCCCGCCGGAGGAACCAACCAAACUCUUUCUGUAGUCCCCUCGCGGACGUAUUUCUUACAGCUCUGAGCAAAAAUUCAAAAUGAAUCAAAACUUUCAACAACGGAUCUCUUGGUUCUGGCAUCGAUGAAGAACGCAGCGAAAUGCGAUAAGUAAUGUGAAUUGCAGAAUUCAGUGAAUCAUCGAAUCUUUGAACGCACAUUGCGCCCGCCAGUAUUCUGGCGGGCAUGCCUGUCCGAGCGUCAUUUCAACCCUCGAACCCCUCCGGGGGAUCGGCGUUGGGGAUCGGGACCCCUCACACGGGUGCCGGCCCCGAAAUACAGUGGCGGUCUCGCCGCAGCCUCUCCUGCGCAGUAGUUUGCACAACUCGCACCGGGAGCGCGGCGCGUCCACGUCCGUAAAACACCCAACUUUCUGAAAUGUUGACCUCGGAUCAGGUAGGAAUACCCGCUGAACUUAAGCAUAUCAAAA